This 253-nucleotide ribosomal RNA is filed under the name uncultured bacterium. Its description in RNAcentral is "partial 16S ribosomal RNA". It matches the Rfam family "Bacterial small subunit ribosomal RNA", at positions 524 to 776 of the family's 1533-position model. The record is from RNAcentral.
UACGUAGGGUGCAAGCGUUGUCCGGAAUUAUUGGGCGUAAAGAGCUCGUAGGCGGUUUGUCGCGUCUGCUGUGAAAUUUCGGGGCUCAACCCCGAACUCGCAGUGGGUACGGGCAGACUAGAGUGUGGUAGGGGAGACUGGAAUUCCUGGUGUAGCGGUGAAAUGCGCAGAUAUCAGGAGGAACACCGAUGGCGAAGGCAGGUCUCUGGGCCACUACUGACGCUGAGAAGCGAAAGCGUGGGGAGCAAACAGG